AGAAUCAACGCUGGCGGCGUGCCUAACACAUGCAAGUCGCACGAGAAAGGGUAGCAAUACCUGAGUAAAGUGGCGCACGGGUGAGUAACACGUGAAUAAUCUACCUCCGAGUGGGGAAUAACUGAGAGAAAUCUUAGCUAAUACCGCAUAACACUUACGAGUCAAAGCAGCAAUGCGCUUGGAGAGGAGUUCGCGGCAGAUUAGUUAGUUGGCGGGGUAAUGGCCCACCAAGACGAUGAUCUGUAUCCGGCCUGAGAGGGCGCACGGACACACUGGAACUGAAACACGGUCCAGACUCCUACGGGAGGCAGCAGUGGGGAAUUUUGCGCAAUGGGGGAAACCCUGACGCAGCAACGCCGCGUGGAGGAUGAAGUAUCUUGGUACGUAAACUCCUUUCGAUUGGGAAGAUAAUGACGGUACCAAUAGAAGAAGCCCCGGCUAACUUCGCGCCAGCAGCCGC
This 460-nucleotide ribosomal RNA is filed under the name uncultured bacterium. RNAcentral describes it as "SSU rRNA". It matches the Rfam family "Bacterial small subunit ribosomal RNA", at positions 26 to 518 of the family's 1533-position model. The record is from RNAcentral.